This 126-nucleotide transfer RNA is filed under the name Talaromyces marneffei ATCC 18224. RNAcentral's name for it is "tRNA-Lys (TTT) (tRNA-Lys-TTT-2-1)". It matches the Rfam family "tRNA". Rfam says of the family: Transfer RNA (tRNA) molecules are approximately 80 nucleotides in length. Their secondary structure includes four short double-helical elements and three loops (D, anti-codon, and T loops). Lineage: Eukaryota; Fungi; Ascomycota; Eurotiomycetes; Eurotiales; Trichocomaceae. The record is from RNAcentral.
GCCCGGUUAACUCAAUGGUAGAGUGUCAGGCUUUUAACCUGAAGGUGUAAGUUGAUGCCUACGCAACUUCUGAACAGUAUCAGAUACUAACGUAUAACAGUGCGGGUUCGACCCCCGCAUCGGGCU